Long non-coding RNA from Oxyura jamaicensis (ruddy duck), 160 nucleotides. RefSeq lists it as uncharacterized. The record is from RefSeq and is a predicted model, not a curated record. The transcript is spliced from 3 exons. NCBI's taxonomy places the organism in Eukaryota, Metazoa, Chordata, Aves, Anseriformes, Anatidae.
AGUGGGACCCUGUGAACCACAUGAGGUUCAACAAGUCCAGGUGCAAGGUGCUGAACCUGAGCCAGGGCAAUCCCAGACAGGAGUAAAGACUGGGAGAAGAACUCAUUGAGAGCAGCCCUGUGGAGAAGGACUUGGAGGUUGUGGAGGAUGAGAGGCUGGA